GAUGAACGCUGGCGGCGUGCUUAACACAUGCAAGUCGAACGGUGAAGGCGGAGCUUGCUCUGCUGGAUCAGUGGCGAACGGGUGGGUAACACGUGAGCAAUCUGCCCCUGACUCUGGGAUAAGCGCUGGAAACGGCGUCUAAUACUGGAUACGAGCUGCGAAGGCAUCUUCAGCAGCUGGAAAGAAUUUCGGUCAGGGAUGAGCUCGCGGCCUAUCAGCUUGUUGGUGAGGUAACGGCUCACCAAGGCGUCGACGGGUAGCCGGCCUGAGAGGGUGACCGGCCACACUGGGACUGAGACACGGCCCAGACUCCUACGGGAGGCAGCAGUGGGGAAUAUUGCACAAUGGGCGAAAGCCUGAUGCAGCAACGCCGCGUGAGGGACGACGGCCUUCGGGUUGUAAACCUCUUUUAGCAGGGAAGAAGCGAAAGUGACGGUACCUGCAGAAAAAGCGCCGGCUAACUACGUG
RNAcentral lists this ribosomal RNA (468 nucleotides) under uncultured bacterium. Its description in RNAcentral is "partial 16S ribosomal RNA". It matches the Rfam family "Bacterial small subunit ribosomal RNA", at positions 28 to 507 of the family's 1533-position model. The record is from RNAcentral.